This 274-nucleotide ribosomal RNA is filed under the name uncultured bacterium. Its description in RNAcentral is "partial 16S ribosomal RNA". It matches the Rfam family "Bacterial small subunit ribosomal RNA", at positions 523 to 796 of the family's 1533-position model. The record is from RNAcentral.
CUACGGAGGGUGCAAGCGUUAAUCGGAAUUACUGGGCGUAAGGCGUACGUAGGCGGUUAUUUAAGUCAGAUGUGAAGGCCCCGGGCUUAACUUGGGAACUGCAUUUGAAACUGGGUAACUAGAGUUUAGUAGAGGGGAGUGGAAUUUCAGGUGUAGCGGUGAAAUGCGUAGAGAUCUGAAGGAACACCAGUGGCGAAGGCGACUCCCUGGACUAGAACUGACGCUGAGGUACGAAAGCGUGGGUAGCAAACAGGAUUAGAAACCCCAGUAGUCC